UCCCUGAUAGCUCAGUUGGUAAAGAAUUUGCCUGCAAUGCAGGAGACCCUGGUUCAAUUCAUGGGUAGGGAA
Non-coding RNA from Bos taurus (domestic cattle), 72 nucleotides. Lineage: Eukaryota; Metazoa; Chordata; Mammalia; Artiodactyla; Bovidae. The record is from Rfam.